Long non-coding RNA from Thunnus maccoyii (southern bluefin tuna), 1319 nucleotides. RefSeq lists it as uncharacterized. Lineage: Eukaryota; Metazoa; Chordata; Actinopteri; Scombriformes; Scombridae. The transcript has 5 exons. The record is from RefSeq and is a predicted model, not a curated record.
UUAAUUUGAGGAACAUUACAGCCUCCCCAUCAGUCCAUCUCAUCAGGCAUCUCUCAUCUGUACCGAUCUGAUGUUUUUGUUUUUGUAUCUUCAGUGGAGUGUUUGUACUUUGCAUUUUCUUUACACACCAACUACACCAACUUUUCAAUCUCAGCCAAGCAUAAAAACUGUUUUUGCAAUAUUUUAACAGUUUUUUUUCUCUGGCAUUUCCGGUCAGGUGUUUUCAUGCACACAUUAAAAAAGCGCAUAAAAACUGGUGGGUGGAAAUGCAUUUACAGUAUUGGUUGUAUUAUCUCAGUUUGUUACUGGUCAUUGUGUUUUUAAAAUAAAACCACAUGUGCUCAAUUGCCCUGGAUCUGCAUCUCUACCCAGCAGCAGGGGGCAAAACAUCUGUCCCUUUGGUUUCACUACAUGUCCACUGGGGGCACUGUGCAGCACAUCUGGACUGGUUGACCGUUGCCAAGGAGCUUCAAAGAACCUGGCAUCCUUUGAUGUUCUAUCACAUUGUCUGUACUCGCCAAGAAACAUCCUGUUUUUGGCAUCAGGUGCCACACCAGACACGCCAGAGUAUUCAUCCACAGCUGGGAGCAGUGUGUGAUCCACAGUGUAGCAAAGUAGAAACUGUUAAGACACAGCAACACUGGAUAAAGAAGAGGAGGAACACCUGACUGAGAACAACUGGAGUGUGACCAAACAGAUGUCUUCUACUGAGGCACCACAUAGGUUACAUGGCUGAGGCAGCUUUGCUCCAACCUUCACUACUGGUCAGCAAGAAAGGACACAACAGCAACAGUUUACACCUGCAGAUAAAGACAUGCUAAUGUUCGCCUCCAGCAGGCCUCUUUUGUUGGAGAGCAGAACAUCAAAUCAUCAACAUAUUGCAAGAGAGCACUCCUCCCUGCAUCUCACAGAGUAAGACUUGGGAUACUACACCCAGUGUAGAAUGGAAAAGUCCCUCAGCCAGUGUGUCAGCCCAUGCAUCAUGCUGGAUCAAGAUGCCACAACUGGUCCCUUGUCCUCAGAGCAUCUCACUGAGUACUUUGGUAUCACAUUCAGAGUAAGCCCCUUCAGCCAGGCUCUCUGUCAUUGAUGUGGACAUCCAAGGACAAAUUUCAUCUGAAUCCAAAAAGAAGUCAACGAUGAGGUCAACUCUCUCCAAGCAGUGGUUCUCGACUGAAGAUCCUCCACCAUCACUGCUGUUGCCAGCUUCUAGAUGUCAAAUGACAGAGAAACAAAGAAGGGUUUGGCUGGAGCUGUUGCAACCAUGAAAUCCUUCGUCAAAGGAUGAGUCACUGCAGUGCCUUUAUGGGAUUCCUCCA